This is a long non-coding RNA of Betta splendens (Siamese fighting fish), 3633 nucleotides long. RefSeq lists it as uncharacterized. The record is from RefSeq and is a predicted model, not a curated record. The transcript has 2 exons. NCBI's taxonomy places the organism in Eukaryota, Metazoa, Chordata, Actinopteri, Anabantiformes, Osphronemidae.
CUCCUUCACUUCUUCACACACACCCAUUUUAGCGCCCUCUUCUGGUUCUUAAUUGUAUAACACAACACAUUUUCCCUUUUCUUGAAGAACUGUGCAUUAUUUCGUGAUUAUUGGUGGUUAUAUUAUCAGGUCUGGUGGACCUGAUUAUUUGAAAAUCAGGUCCACCAGAAUAUGUAACUUAGGUACCACACAAAUAAACUUAAAUCUCAAGAGCACAUGAAUCAACAGUAAUAUAUCCUGUACGUGUAUUAUAUUUUCUUAGUAUACUAGUAUCACUAGUAUGUAGUAUGUAAUAUGUAGUAGUAUGUACUAUGUAUUUAACUAGUAUGUAGUUAAAGGGAACAGAUCAUGCAAUAUCCAUUUUUUAGACAUUCUGGAGUGUUCCUAUGACUCUUUUGGUCACGUUUACACACACUGAGCACAGUAGAAGUGCACUUCCUCCUUUUUUCACAUUUUGUGCUUUUCUCCAAUGGGGUCAAAGCAAGUGUGGUUCUGAAACCUCCUCACCUUAAAACGUCAUAAGGCGAUGGACUACUCCCAGCAAAACCUGAACCACCGCCCCCAUGAUACCGAACCAAAACUGGACUUCCGCCAUUACAGUAUCACUCACGGUGAACAGACGAACAUGGCGGCAUCCUCUCAUAGAAACCAUAGAAACUGCUCUGCGGUUUGGUGUUUUAAUACACACCAAAACAUAUUCAACCUACCAACAGAUCAACAAUUGAGGACUUUGCGGGUUACUUUUAUUUUAAACGGACCUGCGACGGCAACAAUGCCUCAGCUUUUGCAUAUAUGUGGACUUCACUUCACUUUGCUUCGAGAACGAGGGUGCUACGAGGCAGGGUUUUCUUCACGGCUUCUGAUGAAGAAAGGAUCUGUUCCUACAGUCCGUCAUCCACUGCAGUACGUACAUACUUCACACUUAUUAUGUCUUGUCAGUUUGUCCGUUUAAAAUUUAGUAACCCACGUGUGAGGCAAGUUAAAAGCUACAGCGAGUCGGCCAAGCCUUUGUCCGCUUGAAAUGUGUUGCUGUGGGCUGCUGCAACCACACACCUGUGGAGAGAAGCUAAUGGCUAACGGCCUUUGAGCGGCUGCAGGCAGGGAGCGGUGGAUGGAGCCCAAGCGGUCUGGCUCUACGGUCAGUUGUAAUCGUGUGGUACACGCCUGUGUUUUCUAUAGCCUUUAGCUGUUAGUGCGCCACUAGCUUGCCAUUAUCAGCUACACAGACAACUAAUCGUGCUACUGCCAUGUUGCAGUUACUGCUAACAACUGCAGCCACACAGAGAACUAAGCAGCAAGGUUGCACACGAUUCACCUGGUGGAAUCAUGCAAUUUCACCGCCGCUCCUAUUUAUGUGUUGCAUUAGCUGUUAGCUCGCUGUUCGCAGUUAGCCCUAUGCACUUUAGAGCUACAGCUGGGUGAUGACCACAAUAAGAAAUUGCAGAUGAACGCAGUUAUGUCUGUACAGUAUGUCUGUCUGUCUAUCCCGUCCUGUGUCACAGCCUAAAUCGAUCAAAUUGUAACAUAUUUAGUUGGAAAGGUAACUAUGUUGUGUUGCAAGCUUAGUUGCUUAUUAGUCACGUCUCUACAAUAACUGCUACUUAUCUGGUCAUUUACCUAUAGCUUGUAUAUAUCAUAUUUAUAGGACCAAUACAAUAAUACAAUUUACAGUUAAUGUAAUGCUAUCUUCUAUACUGUAGGAGGGCACAACCUAGUUACUCAAAUGCAAGGAGGCUGUCAAACAGAAAUCACUGCAGAUCACUGGUACACUGACAUCUGCUGCUCAGCUCAGGGGUGAAGUACCUUUUUUGAUGGGGUGAUGGUGACAGCCACAGCUUCCAUCUGGUAGAGCACUGCUUCCGCUCAAAGUUUUCCAAAUGGUGAUGAGAACAAGGAUCACCACAUCUUCCUGGUCAUCUGUCUACAACUAUACCUGUCCUGCUGCUGAAACAAAAAGCAUUUGCUUCUGUAUUGAGGCGUGACGAGCAGCUCCACGACACACCCCUAAACACAGCCUGUUCACUGAGUGUGACUGAAAACUAUGCAUUGACAGAGUCUGUAUGGAUGAUGUACAGGGUUUUAUGGAAUGAAAACUUACAGACACCUUAUUGAGACAUUGAAGUCUGAUAUUCUUUAGAUUGAAAAGCUGUAUGAUCAGAAACCUUUAAAGCAUAAUAUCAGAACAUAAAUCUCCUCUAUCAGGACCCAUUUAUCAGUGCAUAAGUCAGAUUUCCUCUUUAUCUAACAUAAUCUGUUAACCAUCUGGGUGUAUUUCUUGUCCUGUGGCUUCUUCUUGGUCCUAGCGAUUGUGCAUUAUGGUGUGCACCCUUUAGACACCAUGAACCCAUCAAAUGUUGUUCCGACCACCACUCAACAGUUUUUGUGCCACUUUCUUGAAGGGAUACUGGGGACACUGAAAAGUAAGUUGUGUGAUAAAAAUUGGAUACUGUCUUAGCCAAAAUAUGCAAAAACCUUAACUAUUGAUGGUCUGUGUCUAGAGAAAACAAAAAGCGGCUGUAAUAUGUGUUGUGGCUGAAAAUGGUCAAAUCCUACAACACACAGAAUGCGCUAAGACGAGCCUCCCAACCUUCAGUGAUUGGAACAUACCUGACUGCAGGUCGUGUAACUCCUCCAGCUUACAGACAAACGUUGGGACAUUAUUUUAUGUUUUUGACAAAAGGUUAUAUCUUAAGUGUGUUUGAAUAAAGACAUUGGUUCUAAGUCAUUCAGCAGCUUUUUAUUUUGAAUCAAAGCAGACAGUUGUUAGAAAGCCACAGAUUGUUUAAUUAGCCAAAACCUUUUCUCUAUCUGCUGUUAGUGGCGGGAACAACAAGACGGUUGUUGCUUUGACGAUACACGACCGGCUGAUAUUGUCUACAAAAGGAUGAAAUCAAUUACUGAAUUAGUUUUUAGGGUUGCUGCUAGCCAAGCUAACCGCUAACGCUAGGAGCAUAAGCUUGCGCUACUUCUAACAGUACAAAACAUGAGAAGCAGCAGCUCAUAACUGUACUCAAACUGCACAGCUCAAACUAAAGCAAUAAACGGUCGAAUAUAUUACUAACUCAGUGCUCAUUCCAUCGUCCUUAUAGAAGUUUUUCAGACUCAAAAUCCAAUUUGCAAAACAUUUGUUAACUGGCAAUUCAAUAUGCAAUAUCGUUGUUCAAUUUGAAAAUGUAUUUUACAUUUUGCAAUUCCAUAUUAAAAGUGUUAAUUCAAAAGACAGUUUUAUUAUUUAAAAGUUUAAAUAAAACCUUAAUCAAUUGCAUGUUUGUUUGUAGUCUAUUCAAAUGGCAAUACAUUUUGCAAUUGACAAUUCAAUAUGCUAUUUGGUCAUUUCAUUUUAAAAUGCAUUUUGUAAAUGGAAAUGCAUUAUUAAAAUCGUGGCUUGGUGGCUCAGUGGUAGUAGAAUGCUGUAGAGCAUUGGUUUGGGGAGCAGAAUGUACCAGGUUAGGAGCACCAAGCGUGUCCUUGAGUAAGACACUUUGCACUAGCUCCCCAGAGGAUGGGUUAAGUGCGGAAGACCAAUUUUGUUCUUACAUUGUAUGUGAUAAUGACCAAUAAAGGCUUUCUUUCUUUCUUUCUUUUUUUCUUUCUUUCUUUCUUUCUUUCUUUCUUUCUUUCUUUCUUUCUUUC